GAAAUUCAAUUAUUAAAUAGCUAAAUUGUUACUACCUGUAAUUACACCUUCAAAACACCACCACCAAAAUAAUCAAGAAUAAAAAAACCGGGAACGCGGCGCCUUCCGUCGACCUCGUCUCCAUCUUCUUUAUUUUCCUAGUUUCAUUACGAAAAUCCCCUAGUAUUCGGCAUCUGCGCAAAACGGUUGAUUGGUUAUAUACAGAGCAUAUCAUAUUUUUGUUUCCGAUGUAAAGGUGUGUUGCCUAACCAUAAGGGUGAAUUAUGACACCAUAUUCUCUAAUGCUUUGUUGUUGUCCAUUUAAAAGGAAACGUAUGUACGUAGGUAUUUGGAAGCACUGGAACUACUGUGGCCGUUGAAGUAAAGCAUAAAUCCAACAACUACGAUGAUAUAUUUAUAUAUCGAACGCGUUUCAAAAGCAAAGCUGCCAUCAUCAUCGAAAUACAAGAAAAAAAGCAAUACAUUAUGCGACAUAUAGAAUUCAUAUCCGUAGAUGGCUUAAAGAAAUUCAGAAAAUGUCCAGUUGCAACCUUUCUUUUAAGUCCGACGUUUACAUAUAAAGGGGGUUGACCCUCCGUCCCGUGCUACUUUGGAAUAAAAUGUUGACCUUUCGAAAUCAACAAUUUUUUUAGCAAAAAUUUUUUUACCGAUCCACGGAUAGCCCUUACGUAACAUCAGUUCUCUUUACAUUUGUUAUUUCACCUUUUCUAUUUUUCUAAGUUGCUUGCUCGCAAGUUUAUACAAAAAAUGACUAACGUUAUGGAUAUAUUCCGUGGCUCACUAACGAAUGCCUCCACAACUACUCCAGACUAACUCCUACCUAUUCUUUUUAACCAAUUAACGCCUACAAAAUAACUUCUUAUUAACCACAAAUGGCCAUUUUUACUCAUUGAUUCGUUCCUGCCCUACGAAUUAAAUUUUUCCCACAAUAUAGAUAUGACCGAAUCCUUACGCUACGGUUUGGAACAGAUAAAACCAAUUAAAAUAACUACUUGUUACCCCAACAUUGGGUCCCCAGACUUCCUAAAGCUAUUAUGAAAACUUUACUCUAUAGAAUUUAAAUACGCAGAACAAAAUUUUCAGUUUAAAAAAAAAAUUGAAAUUAGCAGGCCUAUACUUCGACUACCCCGCUCACUCUCUGUUAACAAACCUACAAUAAUGCGCACCCCUACAUAAUUGCCGACAUGACUGCUUUCAAAGAAAUUCGAGAAAAUGAAAUCCAAAUUAGGAGCUACCGUUACACAGGGUUGCCAGAUCUUGAUAAUUGACAAAAGGCGGGAUUAUGCUAGCCCAGCGGUAGGUACGUUAGAAUUGUUUGACUGACUCAUACUUACCUACAUAAGACGCGUAAACGCUUACAGAUAACGCUAAUAUAGAAGUAUGGGGGCUCAUUAUAACUUACCUAGUUAAUUGGCGCACAUACCGCAUGUAGCCAUAAAGAGAGACCCACUUAAAAAUGAGAGCAAUAAUUGUCUUUUUUGCUCUAAUCGUAAUAGCGAAUGCUGCAAUCAAUAUGACGGAUAUAGUGAAUAUAUACAAAGGUCAGCGGAAAAUGAUGCAAGCGUUUCGUAAGAGACAAUUCUUGACAGCAUUAAUAACAUACAUCGAUAUGAGGUAUAAGUACGAUCCUACAAAAAAUUUGAGUCCAACACAACUGUUAGCUUUAUUUCUAAAGCAGAUUUUGAUCGACUCAAGAAAGGUUUUAGAAAGAGUCUCUUCCCUACGCAACACGCUCAAAAGUACUCAGUCGUCAGUGUAAUAACUCAAUGUAUAUUUGUGACUUAAUAAAGAAUUUUGAAUAUU
Long non-coding RNA from Photinus pyralis (common eastern firefly), 1803 nucleotides. RefSeq lists it as uncharacterized. NCBI's taxonomy places the organism in Eukaryota, Metazoa, Arthropoda, Insecta, Coleoptera, Lampyridae. The transcript has 2 exons. The record is from RefSeq and is a predicted model, not a curated record.